RNAcentral lists this ribosomal RNA (403 nucleotides) under uncultured bacterium. Its description in RNAcentral is "partial 16S ribosomal RNA". It matches the Rfam family "Bacterial small subunit ribosomal RNA", at positions 28 to 526 of the family's 1533-position model. The record is from RNAcentral.
GACGAACGCUGGCGGCGUGCCUAAUACAUGCAAGUCGAACGCAGUGGGGACGGGUGAGUAACACGUGGGUAACCUCCCAUCAGAGGGGAUAACACUUGGAAACAGGUGCUAAACCGAUAUUGAUGGCUGGACCCGCGGUGCAUUAGCUAGGUGGUGCGGUAACGGCUCACCAAGGCCACGAUGCAUAGCCGAACGGGUAGGGUGAUCGGCCACACUGGGACGGAGACACGGCCCAGACUCCUACGGGAGGCAGCAGUAGGGAAUCUUCGGCAAUGGACUAAAGUCUGACCGAUCAAUGCCGCGUGAGUGAAGAAGGUUUUCGGAUCGUAAAACUCUGUUGUUAGAGAAGCGGUAGCUAACCAGAAAGCCACGGCUAACUACGUGCCAGCAGCCGCGGUAAUUC